GAUGAACGCUGGCGGCGUGCCUAAUACAUGCAAGUCGAGCGAACAGACGAGGAGCUUGCUCCUCUGACGUUAGCGGCGGACGGGUGAGUAACACGUGGAUAACCUACCUAUAAGACUGGGAUAACUUCGGGAAACCGGAGCUAAUACCGGAUAAUAUAUUGAACCGCAUGGUUCAAUAGUGAAAGACGGUUUUGCUGUCACUUAUAGAUGGAUCCGCGCCGCAUUAGCUAGUUGGUAAGGUAACGGCUUACCAAGGCAACGAGGCGUAGCCGACCUGAGAGGGUGAUCGGCCACACUGGAACUGAGACACGGACCAGACUCCUACGGGAGGCAGCAGUAGGGAAUCUUCCGCAAUGGGCGAAAGCCUGACGGAGCAACGCCGCGUGAGUGAUGAAGGUCUUCGGAUCGUAAAACUCUGUUAUUAGGGAAGAACAAAUGUGUAAGUAACUAUGCACGUCUUGACGGUACCUAAUCAGAAAGCCACGGCUAACUACGUG
Molecule: ribosomal RNA, 497 nt
Filed under: uncultured bacterium
Lineage: Bacteria
Description: partial 16S ribosomal RNA
Rfam family: Bacterial small subunit ribosomal RNA
Source: RNAcentral